UACGUAGGAGGCGAGCGUUGUCCGGAAUUACUGGGCGUAAAGCGCGUGUAGGCGGUCCGCCAAGUCGCCCUUGAAAGCCCCCUGCUCAACGGGGGGAGGGGGGGCGAAACGGGCGGACUCGGUGGAGUCUGGUAGGGGGAGGCGGAACGGCCGGUGGAGCGGUGAAAUGCGUAGAGAUCGGCCAGAACACCAGUGGCGCAGGCGGCCUCCUGGGCCAGGACUGACGCUGAGACGCGACAGCGUGGGGAGCGAACGGAAUUAGAUACUCCGGUAGUCCACGCCGUAAACGAUGCAGACCAGGUGCUGGGGGUAUCGACCCCUUCGGCGCCGGAGCAAACGCGGGAAGUCUGCCGCCUGGGGAGUACGGCCGCAAGGCUAAA
This 380-nucleotide ribosomal RNA is filed under the name uncultured bacterium. RNAcentral's name for it is "partial 16S ribosomal RNA". It matches the Rfam family "Bacterial small subunit ribosomal RNA", at positions 524 to 898 of the family's 1533-position model. The record is from RNAcentral.